Molecule: non-coding RNA, 971 nt
Organism: Cherax quadricarinatus
Lineage: Eukaryota; Metazoa; Arthropoda; Malacostraca; Decapoda; Parastacidae
Source: RefSeq, a predicted model, not a curated record
CCCAUCGACUGCUCAUAUUUGGAAAAACUCGCACGUGGACACGCUCGCAAGUAGAGGUUCCACUGUACUCUGCAUAACAAGCGGCUUUCUAUAUAGUAGUAUGUCAUUGAUGUCAGCUAGGCCUGUAUACCUUGUACAUGUAUGUGUAGUAAAUAAAAACAUUAUUAUUAUUGACAUUAUUAUUAUUAUUGUUAUUAUUAUUAUUAUUAUAUUAUUUUCUCAGUUGUUUGUUGGGUUAUCUUAUUCAAACUUGCGCAAUGUAUGAUGGAAAGAUACUUCUUCACGUACACCAAAAAUGAAAGAAAUCAGACCAUAAAUAGCGGAGUUCACUUCUCAGCCAUUAGCGGCCUCUUAGCGGUAUAUUUUUGUAUGGCUGUUAUGGUUAUAUUCUCAUUUUUUCAGUCUCAUUUGAUAGAAUGAAAGAUAUAUUACAGAUAUAGAUAUGAUUUUGAUUGCUUUCAUGACGAAAAGUACCUUGAAAUUGCACUCACAGUAGCGAAAAUGUUCUACUCUUUAGCGAAGCUCAAGAGUAAACAAAUGACGUCACCGUCCAAUACUGUCCACCUGCCAGUCUAAAUUCCAGUACGAAGUCAAGAAUGGCUUGACAUUAUUUAUACAAUUAUUACAAUAAUGCAGCAGUCUGCAUAACAGUAAAUCUUCUAUUUUUUUGUGAAUAAAAAUUCCAAAUGAUCAAGAGCAAGAGCCCCUCACAAGCAUCAAGGAACCUCCCUUGAGGCCCGCUCACAUCUGGAAAUUUCACUCACAUCUGGAAGCAAAAAACUGACUGAGUGACUGCUCGUAUCUGGAAAAACUCGCACAUGGAUGCACUCGGUUCUACAUAACACCUGGCUCCCAUCUGCACAAGCAACACUGGGUCCCCGAGAGAUUCUGCACCGAUGAAGAUAUCUCCGGACCCAUCCAUGGACUGGAUGAGGGGAAGCUGAACAAAGCCACGAUAGUCUGGACCUUUG